RNAcentral lists this ribosomal RNA (208 nucleotides) under uncultured Smithella sp. Its description in RNAcentral is "partial 16S ribosomal RNA". It matches the Rfam family "Bacterial small subunit ribosomal RNA", at positions 568 to 775 of the family's 1533-position model. Lineage: Bacteria; Pseudomonadati; Thermodesulfobacteriota; Syntrophia; Syntrophales; Smithellaceae. The record is from RNAcentral.
CGUGUAGGCGGCUUGACAAGUCAGAUGUGAAAGCCCUGGGCUUAACCCAGGAAGUGCAUUUGAAACUGUUCAGCUUGAGUAAGGGAGAGGAAAGUGGAAUUCCUGGUGUAGAGGUGAAAUUCGUAGAUAUCAGGAGGAACACCGGUGGCGAAGGCGACUUUCUGGCCCUAUACUGACGCUGAGACGCGAGAGCGUGGGUAGCAAACAG